RNAcentral lists this signal recognition particle RNA (148 nucleotides) under Nomascus leucogenys (northern white-cheeked gibbon). RNAcentral describes it as "Metazoan signal recognition particle RNA". It matches the Rfam family "Metazoan signal recognition particle RNA". From Rfam's summary of the family: The signal recognition particle (SRP) is a universally conserved ribonucleoprotein. It is involved in the co-translational targeting of proteins to membranes. The record is from Rfam by way of RNAcentral. Lineage: Eukaryota; Metazoa; Chordata; Mammalia; Primates; Hylobatidae.
GCCGGGCAUGGUGGCGGGUGCCUGUAAUCCCAGCUACUUGGGAGGCUGAGGCAGGAGAAUUGCUUGAGCCCAGGAGGCAGAGGUUGCAGUGAGCCAAGAUUGUGCCACUGCACUCCAGCCUGGGCAACAGAGGGAGACUCUGUCUCAU